Molecule: long non-coding RNA, 2108 nt
Organism: Daphnia pulicaria
Lineage: Eukaryota; Metazoa; Arthropoda; Branchiopoda; Diplostraca; Daphniidae
Exons: 7
Source: RefSeq, a predicted model, not a curated record
AGAGGCGAAUGUCUCUAGUUAGUCGGCCGACUUCCACAUGCAAAAAGGAAAAAGUUGUUAGUUCCCUUUUUCUUAAUAUAUUCCAAUCAUGGCCCACUGCUGUCAAAGUUCUUCCGGUGCUGGUCCUCGUCCUUGUUUACUCAAGGUUUAAUUUCGACCAAGACGUUUAAACGGUUUAAUCAUUCCUAGGGAACGUAUCUCAACAAUUUUUAUCGGAGUUUAAAAUGAAUUUAAUGAUCGCUACAAUUAGUAAGUCGCGAAAUCUGGAUACACAUUAUUUUUAAAAAAAUUUAAAUUAUAGUUGCACAGAUUGACCAACAUUUAACAUUUGACCUACAUCCAAGAUGUGUGCCUCCUAAUAUCAAUCUCAAAAAUAUUUGUUUCAGCUAGUUUCAUUUUGUUUAUGCUGUACUCUAAUUCGCCGUGUUGCGGCUAAAUUUAAUUAUGCACUAAAAAAACUGGUUCAUUGCUGGUUUUUAUUUUAUUUUUUAUGGCGCACCGUUUUUUGUUCGGAAAUCCUUGUUCCAGAAUGAAACUAAACUCGCUCACUGAAAUCGAGAUAGCAGUAUCGAUAUGGCUUCGUCUUAUUACCAACUCUCAGAUUCAAAAGUAUUGCGGAUUUAACUGACUAGGUAUCCCUGUCUCAUAAGUUGAUCUCAAUAACCCCCCUCCCCACCUAAAAAGAAAAAGAAAAUUCUAAUCAAAUUAGGUCAAACGAAAUAUAUAUAUUUUACCUUGAAAUACAAGUUGAUCUUUCCACUUUCUUUUUAUUAGUGUUGAUUACUGAGCUAGACGGCACUUUCCGCUUCAAGGAUUAUUUUAUUCGUGCCAUGUAGGUGGUGCAACAGAAAAUUUAUUUAGCUCCGGAGCCAAGGGCUUGGGAGGCGUUAUAGGAUUAUUUCAGGUAGAAACAGUCUGACUGCAUUACUGGCAACACCGCUUCCAAAAUCCAAACCUCACGUUCGUCUGCAACGGUCCAUAACUCUACACUAGUACACUUUGCAUUGUUUUUGUUUGAAAAAUUGUUAGGCCACAGCACAGAUGGUGAGGGCAUGGUAUUGUUAUCCAAUACCGACUAAUAUGACUGGAGAUCAAUUUGAAAUUUGAAUAUCUUGCCAACUAUAACUUCCUUUAUAAAAUUUGAGAUAUCUUUCUGAUUGACUGCCUUCUGCUGGUUACUUUGUUGCAGCCAGCUUGCGAAUGGUGUUCUUUUUGCAGGCUUGCUACCUGUACUGGAUGUAACUUUUAUCACAUACUGAAACAACUCUAAAGCAGCAUGUUGUAGAUCUUUCCUUUCUCCACGUGGUUACUGCCAUGUCAUGAAGAUGCAUGUUUGAGAGGGUCUCUACUAUAUUGUAAGACAAAAGUGUGACGAAAACAGAAAAUCUGAAAUGGUGUUCAUUGUCAGUUUGGUGUACAGUGGUUUUGCAGUCAUUUUCCAGUUGAGAGAUGUGCUGAAAUGGAGCUUGUGCACACUUGCAGUUCAACAUCUACUUCAAUGGGUCAUUUGCUUAUGUUGGUCCCCAUGCAGUAUAUGCAGUGUUGAAUGUGCAGUUGGGUAAAAUAGUCAAUGUUCUGUCGGGUUUAUUUUAUCAGCUGCGUUUUUUCGAUCUGUCUUGCUACAGGCGUUGAGUUCAAUCGUUUGCUGCCGUUCCAUUCCAUAGACUUGAUCCAUUGGUGAAACUGAGGUUGCUGAAAUUAAAGACUCGUCAAUAAAUUAUGAGGAAGUAGUUAAAAUUGCAAGUGCAUAUCUGGGCUCCCUUCUUCAGUGGCCUCGUUUCCCUAACUAACCACUAACCAACGCCCGCCGGUGGUCACUCACUCGCUGCGACAACCAGGAGGAAGGGUCUGGUCGAACGGGGACUUGUAAGGCGCAUGAUUCGAUUAAAUCUGUUGGAGGGUCAUGAGUCUAAGCCGCAAACCUACUAUGAUGCAUUGGUCUCAUAAUAGCUGCUCCUGCGGCUCUUUUCGCUCUUUUUCCGGUUUCUCUUAACCACGGCCGGGUAAUCUCCCUGGUAGAGUCAGUCGGGCAGUGUCUCCCCCUGCUUGACUGGCUGCAGUUUGUACCGGACGGUUUGUUUAAUAAAUAAAACAAGUAUAAAAAACCA